RNAcentral lists this long non-coding RNA (416 nucleotides) under Numida meleagris (helmeted guineafowl). RNAcentral's name for it is "lncRNA (ENSNMEG00000006521.1)". The record is from RNAcentral. Lineage: Eukaryota; Metazoa; Chordata; Aves; Galliformes; Numididae.
AGAGGCACAAGAUUCUAGGGUUACAGGGUCAGGGUUAUGGGGUUGUAGAGGCACAGGAUUAUAGGGCUUUAGUGUCAGGGUUAUAGGGUCAGGGUUAUGGGGUUGUAGAGGCACAGGAUUCUAGGGUUAUAGGGUCAGGGUUAUGGGGUUGUAGAGGCACAGGAUUCUAGGGUUAUAGGGUCAGGGUUAUGGGGUCAGGGUUAUGGGGUCAGGGUUAUAGGGUCAGGGCUAUAGGGUCAGGUUAUAGGGUCCGUGUUGUAGGGUCAGGGUUUAGGGUCCGUGUUGUGGGGUCCGGUUAUAGGGUCAGGUUAUAGGGUCAGUUUAUAGGAUCAGGUUAUAGGGUCAGGUUAUAGGGUCAGUUUAUAGGGUCAGUUUAUAGGAUCAGGUUGUAGGAUCAGGUUAUAGGAUCAGGUUAU